AAAAACCAGUUUCUGUAUGUUCAAAAAGACGAAAUCGCUCUACUAAGAUAUAUGGACUUAGAAUGAUGACGUACGAUUCAACUGCGGAUGAAAUGCGAUGCGGUUCUAAUAGUAAUGAAAAAAUAUAU
Molecule: small RNA, 128 nt
Filed under: Arabidopsis thaliana (thale cress)
Lineage: Eukaryota; Viridiplantae; Streptophyta; Magnoliopsida; Brassicales; Brassicaceae
Description: ATSL109010
Source: RNAcentral